Molecule: non-coding RNA, 712 nt
Organism: Pogona vitticeps (central bearded dragon)
Lineage: Eukaryota; Metazoa; Chordata; Lepidosauria; Squamata; Agamidae
Source: RefSeq, a predicted model, not a curated record
GUUAACAGUCAGGCUGAGCCUUCAUCUGGUCAGGAUGGAUCUUCCUAUUAGGUCAAGUUGCAGGGGGCUUUAUUGAACGACACCCCAAAUAAAGGACAGAGUAUAGAUCCUGACCAGCAGAAGACCAUUUUUUAAAUCCUGACACCCUCUGAGCUUGCUCAGCAGAGGAGAGCAGCAAGCCACGGAAGAAAAGACUUGGUUUCCACACCCACCCCUGGAAUGAGAAAUGGACAACACUCGUCUGUCUCUUUCAAUUGCAUGCUUUUCAAAAAAAUAAAAUAAAAAUAUGGCUGGCAAGACAACCAGAUGCUCUUGGCGGGUGGUAUUUGGCUCCGCAGCAUUUUUAACUAAAACGUACUCAAGCAAAAAUGCAGCAGGGACUGUUCUAAAUCCAACGCCUGGAUUUUUACUGGAAGCAGGCUUUGACUGUCUGCAUGCAUAAAUAAAAGAGAGGAUUCCUUCUAUUAAAGGGGGAAAAGCAGAGUGUUGAAACAUGCCCUCACACUGGCUAAGUGAUUGAAGACUCUGGCAGCUAAAGAGUUAAGGAUAUUUGAAGGAAUAGACAACCCUUCCAUCUGGAAGAGAUUUGAAGAGAUGUAUCUAUAAAAGAUACCUUCCUAGACAUUAACUGAUCCAUAUGACCUGAAAUGUAUAUCUAGAACCAAGAAAGCAGUGGUAGCAGAGCGCCUCCAUUGCUUUGCCUCUGUCCUGU